AUUGAACGCUGGCGGCAUGCUUUACACAUGCAAGUCGAACGGUAACAGCACUUCGGUGGCUGACGAGUGGCGAACGGGUGAGUAAUACAUCGGAACGUGCCUAGUAGUGGGGGAUAACUACUCGAAAGAGUAGCUAAUACCGCAUGAGAUCUAAGGAUGAAAGCAGGGGACCUUCGGGCCUUGCGCUACUAGAGCGGCUGAUGGCAGAUUAGGUAGUUGGUGGGAUAAAAGCUUACCAAGCCGACGAUCUGUAGCUGGUCUGAGAGGACGACCAGCCACACUGGGACUGAGACACGGCCCAGGCUCCUACGGGAGGCAGCAGUGGGGAAUUUUGGACAAUGGGCGCAAGCCUGAUCCAGCAAUGCCGCGUGCAGGAUGAAGGCCUUCGGGUUGUAAACUGCUUUUGUACGGAACGAAAAGCCCUCUUCUAAUACAGGAGGGUCAUGACGGUACCGUAAGAAUAAGCACCGGCUAACUACGUG
Molecule: ribosomal RNA, 482 nt
Filed under: uncultured bacterium
Lineage: Bacteria
Description: partial 16S ribosomal RNA
Rfam family: Bacterial small subunit ribosomal RNA
Source: RNAcentral